This is a long non-coding RNA of Hipposideros armiger (great roundleaf bat), 406 nucleotides long. RefSeq lists it as uncharacterized. The record is from RefSeq and is a predicted model, not a curated record. The transcript has 3 exons. NCBI's taxonomy places the organism in Eukaryota, Metazoa, Chordata, Mammalia, Chiroptera, Hipposideridae.
UUUUUUUUUAAUGUCUUGAUGGCUGACUAGAUUUUUUGUGAUUGGUAUGAGCCCUGCAGAAUAUAAGCUGUGGAUAUCUAGUGCUGGCCUGUAGUUAACCACUGUGGCUUACAGGUUGAUUGCUUUGUGGGCACUAAGAGUAAUAAAAAGCCUAAGAUUUCAAAAGGAAAUGAAAAAAGUUAAAAUGAGGUAUUGCAUGGCAGAUCCACAGAGAAGCAAGACGGAGGGCUGUGACGACGUAAUUCUCCUGGAGAGCCAUCAAAAAAUAUAUAUGGUGAUUUGACUAGUAAAGGUGAAGUCAGCUGUACAUUAAAAAGGCCUUCAAAAUAAGCAAAACUUAAUGGUAUAAGAAGAGUUCUUUAAAAUUAUGGACCUUGGGUUUAGAGAAGAUUUUAUGAAUUUGACA